CUCAAGGGUUAAUUCAGGAUGACUGGACCUGCAGGAAAGGGCCAGAAUUGAGAACCUCUGCCCUACAUAGAGGCCUGUGCCAGGUAUUUGUUGAAAUUCCACACUCCCCGCAGGGAGAGCGGUCCACUCACAGCUCUCCCCUUGGAUUUCCUGAUAACCUGGCUCAGUACUAGUUACUCUAAAACACUCUGAAGUUACCAUUGACCUCCUUCUCUCAACGGACGGGAACUCAUCUUGGG
RNAcentral lists this long non-coding RNA (239 nucleotides) under Sinocyclocheilus grahami. RNAcentral's name for it is "lncRNA (ENSSGRG00000054977.1)". The record is from RNAcentral. Lineage: Eukaryota; Metazoa; Chordata; Actinopteri; Cypriniformes; Cyprinidae.